RNAcentral lists this ribosomal RNA (253 nucleotides) under uncultured bacterium. RNAcentral describes it as "partial 16S ribosomal RNA". It matches the Rfam family "Bacterial small subunit ribosomal RNA", at positions 524 to 776 of the family's 1533-position model. The record is from RNAcentral.
UACAGAGGUCUCAAGCGUUGUUCGGAUUCAUUGGGCGUAAAGGGUGCGUAGGCGGCGCGGUAAGUCGGGUGUGAAAUCCUGGAGCUCAACUCCAGAACUGCCUUUGAUACUGGCGGUCUCGAGUCCGGGAGAGGUGAGUGGAACUGCGAGUGUAGAGGUGAAAUUCGUAGAUAUUCGCAAGAACACCAGUGGCGAAGGCGGCUCACUGGCCCGGUACUGACGCUGAGACGCGAAAGCGUGGGGAGCGAACAGG